Molecule: ribosomal RNA, 492 nt
Filed under: uncultured bacterium
Lineage: Bacteria
Description: partial 16S ribosomal RNA
Rfam family: Bacterial small subunit ribosomal RNA
Source: RNAcentral
AGUGAACGCUGGCGGUAGACCUAACACAUGCAAGUCGAACGGCAGCACAGUAAGAGCUUGCUCUUACGGGUGGCGAGUGGCGGACGGGUGAGGAAUACAUCGGAAUCUACUUUUUCGUGGGGGAUAACGUAGGGAAACUUACGCUAAUACCGCAUACGACUUACGGGUGAAAGCAGGGGAUCUUCGGACCUUGCGCGAUUGAAUGAGCCGAUGUCGGAUUAGCUAGUUGGCGGGGUAAAGGCCCACCAAGGCGACGAUCCGUAGCUGGUCUGAGAGGAUGAUCAGCCACACUGGAACUGAGACACGGUCCAGACUCCUACGGGAGGCAGCAGUGGGGAAUAUUGGACAAUGGGCGCAAGCCUGAUCCAGCCAUACCGCGUGGGUGAAGAAGGCCUUCGGGUUGUAAAGCCCUUUUGUUGGGAAAGAAAAGCAGCAGGUUAAUACCCCGCUGUUCUGACGGUACCCAAAGAAUAAGCACCGGCUAACUUCGUG